This is a non-coding RNA of Trichophaea hybrida, 111 nucleotides long. NCBI's taxonomy places the organism in Eukaryota, Fungi, Ascomycota, Pezizomycetes, Pezizales, Pyronemataceae. The record is from the annotation of a GenBank genome assembly.
GGCAGGAUGGCCGAGUUGGUUAUGGCGCCAGGUUAAGGUCUAACCUUAAUAUGUUGAUUUAAUUCUCCUGGUUCGGGAAACUGAGCGUGGGUUCAAGUCCCACUCCUGUCA